AAAUGAUCUUAGCCAAAAGGCCGAGACAAGCUUAGUAGCUGUUCCUAUCAGUUUAAUAGCUGAUACAUCCUCUAUCCAAGGACAAUAUAUUAAAUGAAUUUUUGGAACUAGGAGAUGGAAUAGGAACUUGCUCCAUUCACUCCAUGCAUUGACCCAGGUAUUACAGUGCUUCCAGGAAUAGUGCACCCCCU
Molecule: small nuclear RNA, 191 nt
Organism: Hippopotamus amphibius kiboko
Lineage: Eukaryota; Metazoa; Chordata; Mammalia; Artiodactyla; Hippopotamidae
Product: U2 spliceosomal RNA
Exons: 1
Source: RefSeq, a predicted model, not a curated record